Dermochelys coriacea (leatherback sea turtle) is the source of this 310-nucleotide long non-coding RNA. RefSeq lists it as uncharacterized. Lineage: Eukaryota; Metazoa; Chordata; Testudines; Dermochelyidae. The transcript has 3 exons. The record is from RefSeq and is a predicted model, not a curated record.
GUUGGAGCUGUGUGGAUGGCUGAUGGAACUGCAGAACCUUGGACAGGGCAGCACUGCCAGAAGCUGGGGAGUCCUGAGCUGGUUGAGGGACUCCAUUAGGACAAGGCCCUGAGUGGAGGAGGUGAUGAAAGGAAAUGUGGAUUCUGUAAAGAUUAUGGAGCCUCAUUAAUCCCUGGUGUAACUCUGCUGAAGAACACAGUUACCAAGGAGCUUCAAGAAUGCAGGCUUCAGAUUUACCAUGCAAGAGUAUGCUGGAUGGGGGCCUUGCAAAUACAUCCACUGGCACACCAUGGCACCAAAGACACAGGUA